Molecule: ribosomal RNA, 255 nt
Filed under: uncultured bacterium
Lineage: Bacteria
Description: partial 16S ribosomal RNA
Rfam family: Bacterial small subunit ribosomal RNA
Source: RNAcentral
UACGUAGGGUGCAAGCGUUGUCCGGAAUUAUUGGGCGUAAAGAGCUCGUAGGCGGCUUGUCGCGUCGGCUGUGAAAACCUGGGGCUCAACCCCGGGCCUGCAGCCGAUACGGGCAAGCUAGAAUUCGGUAGGGGAGACUGGAAUUCCUGGUGUAGCGGUGAAAAUGCGCAGAUAUCAGGAGGAACACCGGUGGCGAAGGCGGGUCUCUGGGCCGAUACUGACGCUGAGGAGCGAAAAGCGUGGGGAGCGAACAGG